RNAcentral lists this ribosomal RNA (393 nucleotides) under uncultured bacterium. RNAcentral describes it as "bacterial SSU rRNA". It matches the Rfam family "Bacterial small subunit ribosomal RNA", at positions 975 to 1375 of the family's 1533-position model. The record is from RNAcentral.
CAGGUCUUGACAUCGGAUGCAUAGCUCAGAGAUGAGUGAAGCCCUUCGGGGCAUCCAGACAGGUGGUGCAUGGUUGUCGUCAGCUCGUGUCGUGAGAUGUUGGGUUAAGUCCCGCAACGAGCGCAACCCUUGUAUUUAGUUGCUACGCAAGAGCACUCUAGAUAGACUGCCGUUGACAAAACGGAGGAAGGUGGGGAUGACGUCAAAUCAUCAUGCCCCUUACGACCUGGGCCACACACGUACUACAAUGGCGCGCAACAGAGGGAAGCAAGGCAGCGAUGCGGAGCAAACCCCUAAAACGCGUCCCAGUUCAGAUUGCAGGCUGCAACCCGCCUGCAUGAAGUCGGAAUUGCUAGUAAUCGCGGAUCAGCAUGCCGCGGUGAAUACGUUCCC